This 116-nucleotide ribosomal RNA is filed under the name Salmonella enterica subsp. enterica. The record is from RNAcentral. Lineage: Bacteria; Pseudomonadati; Pseudomonadota; Gammaproteobacteria; Enterobacterales; Enterobacteriaceae.
UGGCGGCACUAGCGCGGUGGUCCCACCUGACCCCAUGCCGAACUCCAGAAGUGAAACGCCGUAGCGCCGAUGGUAGUGUGGGGUCUCCCCAUGCGAGAGUAGGGAACUGCCAGGCA